CCCGCUAUAAGCAGUGCCUAAUUUCUCAACUCGCAGAUUUUCCUCCUUGUUUCUUGAUUACCGGCAUUUUUUUUUACGAUGCCCUACAAUAUUUCCUCCCCUUAAGUGGUACCUAAUUUUUCUACUCGCAACUCACAGACUUUCCUCCUUGUUCUUUGAUCGCCGGUAUUUUUUUACGGUGCUGUUUUCGAACUGCUUAGGUGGACAGUGAGCUGGGCUGACGGUUGGGUGCUCACCCCGACCCGGGCUUCGAACUGUCAGUAGAGAUCUAUUGCUGUGGGUGAUUAGCCAGCUGUGCUAAAGCUCGGAGUCGAAGUCCAAAACAUCUGGAGGGCCGAAGUUUGCAGAUACCUGGCUUAGGUGGACAGUGAGCUGGCCGACGGUCGGGUGCUCACCCCGACCCAGGCUUCGAACUGUCAGUAGAGAUCCAUUGCUGCAGGUGAUUAGCCAGCUGUGCUAAAGCUCGAAGUCCAAAACACCUGGAAGGCCGAAGUUUGCCCAUACCUGGCUUAGGUGGACAGCGAGCUGGGCUGACGGUCGGGUGCUCACCCCGACCCGGGCUUCGAACUGUCAGUAGAGAUCUGUUGCUGCGGAUGAUUAGAGCCAGCUGUGCUAAAGCUCGGAGUCGAAGUCCAAAACACCUGGAAGGCCAAAGUUUGCCCAUACCUGGCUUAGGUGGACAGCGAGCUGGGCUGACGGUUGGGUGCUCACCCUGACCCGGGCUUCGAACUGUCAACCUUUUCGUUGGUAGAGAUCUAUGAUUAGAGCCAGUUGUGCUAAAGCUCCGAGUCGAAGUCCAAAACACCUGGAGAGCCUGGCUUAGAACAUAGGUGCGCCCGGCCACGCAAGAAGGUGUUCCGUGUCCUACGGUUUCAGAGUCCGUGCAUUGCCGUGUGACGGGCGCUUAGGACACGCCGUCGUAUUGGAAAGCGGCAUCCGAUGGAAAAGCUGGUUGAACGAAACGAGAAGACGGCUCGGAGCUGCCGGUGACAGUGACGGGUAGCAACGUAUGUGGCAGGAGCCGGACUAUUGCUUAGAUCCGUUGAAGACUUCUUCAGCUAUGUUGACCGCGAGUGUUUGAAAUCCGGGCGGUCAUUUGGAAGGAAUAAGACGGGCCCGACUCUCCAUUCCUCGCUGCCUUGCCUUCCCGGAGGCUCCUCGACGCAAGAAGUGCCUUUCUUUCCUCGCUCUCCAGCCCUUAGGUACUGACAAUACGUGUCGGACUGCAAAGCCCAGCGUCCUUGGCCUCGGCCUGCCUUUGCUCAGGACGGUGGGCUUUGCAGUCGGCGGGGCUCCUGCCGUCGGGAACCGUGCUUCCCUUUGCGACUGCAACUCCCACAAUCCCCUCCCUGGGAAUGAUGGGAGUUGUAGUGCUCGGCAUCGGGUUAUCGAACUGGAAAACUGACAUUUUUAUCUUUGCACUGACGGGGGUCUGGAUUUGGGGGGUGGGAUUUAUUCCAGAGCCCUGGUUUUACUUCGUUCCCACUUUGUUUAUAAAUUAAACCCUCCAGCUGUUUCCCGAGCCUGGAUCGAGCGUCUCCUUUAUUUAUUUGUUUAUUAUUUAUUUAUUUACUACAGGGUGGCUUACAAUCAAAUGUACAUACAAUAUAAGCAAUUAAAUUACUAUAUUGUACUAUAUAAUUUUAUGGUAAUAUUAUUAGUAAUACAGUAGAGUCUCACUUAUCCAAGCCUCGCUUAUCCAAGCUUCUGGAUUAUCCAAGCCAUUUUUGUAGUCAAUGUUUUCAAUCUAUUGUGAUAUUUUGGUGCUAAAUUCGUAAAUACAGUAAUUACAACAUAACAUUACUGCGCAUUGAAGUACUUUUUCUGUCAAAUUUGUUGUCUAACAUGAUGUUUUGGUGCUUCAUUUGCAAAAUCAUAACCUAAUUUGAUGUUUAAUAGGCUUUUCCUUAAUCCCUCCUUAUUAUCCAAGAUAUUCGCUUAUCCAAGCUUCUGCCAGCCCGUUUAGCUUGGAUAAGUGAGACUCUACUGUAUUACUUUUAAUAUAUAAUAUAUAAUUAAUUUUAUAUAUUAAUUUUAAUUAAUUAAUUUUUUCCCAGAUUCGAAUCAACACAGCUCAACAGCUCAGUCCGACACGACAUGUUUAUUUUAUACAGAAUUUCCGAGGUUACACAGUUUGGUUCGGUACAAAAUAAUAAUAUGUACAGUUCAUAAUAUACGUUUGACUCCUUGACAUGGAAGUAUCUCCAAGCCGUUGUAAGGUCCAUCUUGCAAAAGUGGUAUUAUGAAAAAAAAUUCCCCAUUGGGCUGCUGGGAAUGUGGCCGUGCCCCAGCAGCACUCCCUCCUGACGUUUCGCCUGCAUCUGUGCCUAACGGCAUCUGCAGAGGUUCGGUUGACAGAACGGCUGCAAAGCCAAUCGGCGAGGGUAUCGGCAUAGAGAUUAAACAGCCCCAGAACCAAGGAAGUAAAUAAAGAAAACUCCAGAUGGUAAACAACCAAGUGCCAGUUCACACUUCCCAAACAGAGGGUGCCUCCAGGCAACAACUGCCAGGCCACAUCUAUGCCGAUACCCUCACUGAUUGACUUUGCAGCUACGAAAGUUUGCCUAUUAGACUCAGAGAGGACUGGAACCCCAGCCCACUGGAUUUAAUCUCCUGUAUACACCAGUACAAAUAUAUAUUCUAUAUGCAUCACUAUUUAUAUAUAAGUACAGUAAUAGGUACGUCAGAACAGAACGCCGUGCUCGUCUCGGCCACGAUGUGGUUAGAGCCGUGAAGAGCGAGCGGCGUUCGAACCCAUGCCCUGAAAACACACGCGGGGCCGGAAUCGGCCCAGGAAUAGCAGCAAACGGGGUGCGAUUUGUAGUGGUUUUGGGGUGGAGGCUAAAGGCCCGAGGCUGCUAGGAAUGCUGGGAGUUGGAGUCCAAAACGCUUGGAAGGAAGACCCAAGUUGGCCCACACGUGGUAUAUGUGCAACUAUGACACGAUGCAAAGGCUGGAAGGCAAUGGUUGGGAGUGAAAAGGGGGUGCGACCAUUAUGUGAUGAAAUACGGUACGAGGCACAUUGUCACGCGUGUCUGGACGGUUUGCCUGAAUCCCACCCUGUGACCAGGCCAAAGGUCAUUAUCAACAAUAUAUCAUCACACUUUGAUUCUCCUAAUCUCAAUUUUAGGGAGGCGCAAAAAAAAAAAAGUGCAACCAUUACGAGAAGAAAAAAUGUAUCUUUGAUUCUCCUAAUCUCAAUUUUGUGGUGGGGAGAGGAGUGACAAAAAAGGUGCGACCAUUACGAGAAGAAAAAUGUGCCUUUGAUUCUCCUAAUCUCAAUUUUAGGGAGGUGCAAAAAAAAAAGGUGCGACCAUUACGAGAAGAAAAAUGUGCCUUUGAUUCUCCUAAUCUCAGUUUUGUGGUGGGGAGAGGAGUGACAAAAAAGGUGCGACCAUUACGAGAAGAAAAAUGUGCCUUUGAUUCUCCUAAUCUCAAUUUUGUGGUGGGGAGAGGAGUGACAAAAAAGGUGCGACCAUUACGAGAAGAAAAAAAUGUGCCUUUGA
Anolis carolinensis (green anole) is the source of this 3506-nucleotide long non-coding RNA. RefSeq lists it as uncharacterized. The transcript has 2 exons. NCBI's taxonomy places the organism in Eukaryota, Metazoa, Chordata, Lepidosauria, Squamata, Anolidae. The record is from RefSeq and is a predicted model, not a curated record.